RNAcentral lists this long non-coding RNA (948 nucleotides) under Vitis vinifera (wine grape). RNAcentral's name for it is "long non-coding RNA (VVIN_LNC002989)". The record is from RNAcentral. Lineage: Eukaryota; Viridiplantae; Streptophyta; Magnoliopsida; Vitales; Vitaceae.
GCCUAUGGUGUUGAGGAAUUGAAUCAAACCAGCUGCAUCAGACAAUGUGUGGUUUAGACGCAGUGCAAAUAUAAAUCCCCCGCACCUCAAUCGGGUCACCUGCAUUUUACAAAGGUAGUCUUCAUCAGUAUAUGCUUAAGCAACAUCCAGUGAUUUUGUAAUGAAACUUACUACUUAUUAUUUAAUAACUUAAAACUUAGUUUAAGUUAAAUUAUUUUUAAGUUGCUAACUUAAAAUGAAUUAUCUAUUUUUUAGGUUAAAUACUAGAUUGGUGGGUUUACCUAAAAUUUGUUUUAAAUCAUCAAAUUGAUAUAUUUACCUUCAUUAAUUUUAAUUAAUAUUUAUUUUCAUUAAUUUUAAAUAGUAAAUUUGUUUAUAAAAUAUUCAUAUUUAUAGUAUCGUAGAUACAUUAAAUAUUUAUUAUAAAAAAUAGGUCAUGCAUGCAUGUCGAAUCAUAAUUCUAAAAUAUACUCGUAUGUGGUCUCAAAAAUUUAUUUUUAACAUUUAACAAAAAAAUCAAAUAUUUUGGUUUUUUUAUUCUAUAAAUUUUUUUUUAAAAUAAAUCAUAAGUAAAAAAAAAAUUAAAAUUAAAUCAUCUAAAAUGUUAAAGUAAAUUAUAUUUGGUAUUAAGUUAAAAAAAACAAACAUCACCUAAAUGAAUUAUUUCAACUUAAUGCCUAGAAUUAAAAAUAACUUUAAUUUGUAAUAUUGAGUUAAUUUAAAUAAAGUCGUUAAAUCAUAUUAAGUCAUUGAUUUACCAAAUACCUUCUUAUAAUGGAAAUUAUUUACCUGAAUUAAGAUAAGAGGGGAACCAAGAAUUCUCGUGGAGCCAGGGACAUCAUACAGAAGCUCCUCAAAGCAGGGACACAUUGGCUGAAUUGCAUCACCAAGAUUCUCAAGUGUGGUAUCCGCAUCGGCUUCAAUGAACAAGACCCCUUCACCGGUGCA